AUUCCAGCUCCAAUAGCGUAUAUUAAAGUUGUUGCAGUUAAAAAGCUCGUAGUUGAACUUCUGGCUAUUCUUCCAGCUGGCUUCGGUCGCUGUAAGAGUGGUCAUCCGCUUGGGAACUACGUUCGAACUUCACUGUUCGGCGUAAGGAACAGGCAUUUUACUUAGAAAAAAUUAGAGUGUUCAAGGCAGGCUAUCGCCCUGAAUACACAAGCUUGGAAUAAUGAAAUAGGACUAUUUCCAUUUUAUUGGUUAUUGGAAUUAGUAAUGAUUAAUAGGGACAGUUGGGGACAUUAGUAUUUAAUUGUCAGAGGUGAAAUUCUUGGAUUUAUUAAAGACUAACUUAUGCGAAAGCAUUUGUCAAGGAUGUUUUCAUUG
The sequence is a ribosomal RNA, 375 nucleotides long. It matches the Rfam family "Eukaryotic small subunit ribosomal RNA", at positions 582 to 975 of the family's 1831-position model.